Molecule: long non-coding RNA, 699 nt
Organism: Cervus elaphus (red deer)
Lineage: Eukaryota; Metazoa; Chordata; Mammalia; Artiodactyla; Cervidae
Exons: 4
Source: RefSeq, a predicted model, not a curated record
GAAGAGAGAGGCACAAGAGAGGCUGUUUGCCUGGGAGUGCAUGUUUCAAAUGCUUAGCUGCCUAUAAAGCUGUAACAGUUCAGCCUGUGGCCACUGAGGGAAGAAUAUAAGUUAACCUCUGUAGUGACCAUGUGGAAGUCCUGACCUUGCUUGCAGACUUGACCUCUGGAUAUGACAAGGUAGCUUCAAUACAGAUCUACCAUCUAAUCCUGGCAACUAAAAACAAACAAACAAAAAUUCCACAGCAAGAAAGAUGCAGAACAUUUCCUGAGAAGUCAGAAGACCCCAAUGUCCUCUGGUGGGCAAAGGAAACAGGAAGCGCUGAUUCAGCAAACAGAGUGAAGAGCCGAUCAAGAUGAGAUGGCUGCUACUGGCGUGACUCUGGGUCAUUCUUUCUCUCCCUGCUCAUGACACUAAGCUUACAGGUUCUAGAAGCAAACUAAAAAAUAAGAAGAAAUUUGCUCUGAAGACUAUGAAGAAAUACUAGGCUGAUCUUACCAAUUUCUGAAAUACACUCUGUAAAUCCCCACUGAUUCAAUGGAUAUCUCUCAAAAAGAACCAAACCAGGACAAAGUUCAACAGAUAACUGGUCAAUGUUUAGAAGUGUAUGUCUACCAAGAACAAGGAACCAUAAACGGCACUAAUGCCAUGCCUCAGAAAAGAAAUGAUAUUGAAAUGCAGACUGUGCCACAAAAUUUU